This 253-nucleotide ribosomal RNA is filed under the name uncultured bacterium. Its description in RNAcentral is "partial 16S ribosomal RNA". It matches the Rfam family "Bacterial small subunit ribosomal RNA", at positions 524 to 776 of the family's 1533-position model. The record is from RNAcentral.
UACGUAGGGGGCAAGCGUUGUCCGGAAUCAUUGGGCGUAAAGAGCGUGUAGGCGGCUCGAUAAGUCUGCUGUGAAAGUCCAGGGCUCAACCCUGGAAGGCCGGUGGAAACUGUCGGGCUAGAAUCCGGAAGAGGCGAGUGGAAUUCCCGGUGUAGCGGUGAAAUGCGCAGAUAUCGGGAGGAACACCAAUGGCGAAGGCAGCUCGCUGGGACGGUACUGACGCUGAGACGCGAAAGCGUGGGGAGCGAACAGG